CGUAGCUCAAUUGGUAGAGCGUAUGUUUGCAAGCAUAAAGCUGUCGGUUCAAAAUCCGAUCG
RNAcentral lists this transfer RNA (62 nucleotides) under Marchantia polymorpha subsp. ruderalis. It matches the Rfam family "tRNA", at positions 6 to 65 of the family's 71-position model. From Rfam's summary of the family: Transfer RNA (tRNA) molecules are approximately 80 nucleotides in length. The record is from Rfam by way of RNAcentral. Lineage: Eukaryota; Viridiplantae; Streptophyta; Marchantiopsida; Marchantiales; Marchantiaceae.